CUACGGAGGGGGCUAGCGUUGUUCGGAAUUACUGGGCGUAAAGCGCGUGUAGGCGGAUCGUUAAGUCAGGGGUGAAAGCCCGGAGCUCAACUCCGGAAUUGCCCUUGAUACUGGCGAUCUAGAGGCCGGGAGAGGUGAGCGGAAUUCCCAGUGUAGAGGUGAAAUUCGUAGAUAUUGGGAGGAACACCAGUGGCGAAGGCGGCUCACUGGCCCGGUUCUGACGCUGAGACGCGAAAGCGUGGGGAGCAAACAGGAUUAGAUACCCUAGUAGUCC
Molecule: ribosomal RNA, 274 nt
Filed under: uncultured bacterium
Lineage: Bacteria
Description: partial 16S ribosomal RNA
Rfam family: Bacterial small subunit ribosomal RNA
Source: RNAcentral